AUUGAACGCUGGCGGCAGGCCUAACACAUGCAAGUCGAACGGUAACAGGAAGAAGCUUGCUUCUUUGCUGACGGGUGGCGGGCGGGUGAGCAAUGUCUGGGCAACUGCCUGGUGGAGGGGGAUAACUAUUGGAAACGGUAGCUAAUACCGCAUAACGUCGCAAGACCAAAGAGGGGGACAUUCGGCGCUCUCGGCAUCGGCUGUGCCCAGAUGGGAUUAGCUAGUAGGUGGGGUAACGGCUCACCUAGGCGACGAUCCGUAGCUGGUCUGAGAGGAUGAUCAGUCACACUGGAACUGAGACACGGUCCAGACUCCUACGGGAGGCAGCAGUGGGGAAUAUUGGACAAUGGGCGCAAGCCUGAUGCAGCCAUGCCGCGUGUAUGAAGAAGGCCUUCGGGUUGUAAAGUACUUUCAGCGGGGAGGAAGGGAGUAAAGUUAAUACCUUUGCUCAUUGACGUUACCCGCAGAAGAAGCACCGGCUAACUCCGUG
RNAcentral lists this ribosomal RNA (490 nucleotides) under uncultured bacterium. RNAcentral describes it as "partial 16S ribosomal RNA". It matches the Rfam family "Bacterial small subunit ribosomal RNA", at positions 30 to 507 of the family's 1533-position model. The record is from RNAcentral.